This 378-nucleotide ribosomal RNA is filed under the name uncultured eukaryote. RNAcentral's name for it is "partial 18S ribosomal RNA". It matches the Rfam family "Eukaryotic small subunit ribosomal RNA", at positions 592 to 976 of the family's 1831-position model. The record is from RNAcentral.
CAAUAGCGUAUAUUUAAGUUGUUGCAGUUAAAAAGCUCGUAGUUGGAUUUCGGGUUGGCUUCAGCGGUCUCGCUCUGCGUUUGUACUGCCGCAGCCUUCCUUCUUGCUGGGGACGGUCCUCCGGGCUUCAUUGCUUGGGGUCUGGAAUCAGCGACGUUACUUUGAGUAAAUUAGAGUGUUCAAAGCAAGCCUACGCUCUGAAUAUAAUAGCAUGGGAUAACACGACAGGACUCUGGCCUAUCGUGUUGGUCUGUAGGACCAGAGUAAUGAUUAAGAGGGACAGUCGGGGGCAUUCGUAUUCCGUUGUCAGAGGUGAAAUUCUUGGAUUUACGGAAGACGAACAUCUGCGAAAGCAUUUGCCAAGGAUGUUUUCAUUGA